UCAUUUAUUAAUAUUAAUUAAUAUUUUUGAUUGAAUAGUGGUUUGUCGUAGCGUGGGUAAAAUUCUUACGUUUUUUUCUAAAUAUUAGGUAGUGAUUUUACCGACGCGCCAUAUUUUUUUUCUAUUUUGGUAAUUCUGGUACUCAUUUUUUACUUAUUUUUUACUUUCGUUAUACAGAAUGAGUAAAAGAAUUACCUGUUUUUGCUCAAGGUGAGAAAUUUGUUUACUUUUUCUUGAAAUUAAUUGGUAAUUUAUGUGGAAUUCCUUUCAAAAAAAAAAUCUAUUAUAAUUCGAUUUUUUUUGUUGAAAGGAAUUCCACAUUAACAAACUUUGGAAGCGACUAGAGUUUUUUUCUUUCUUUUUUUCUAUUUUGGUAAUUCUGGUACUCAUUUUUUACUUAUUUUUUACUUUCGUUAUACAGAAUUGGUAUAUACAUACAAAACUGACAGCUAGCAUAGUUUUUUUCUUCAUUUCUUUCAUUCGGUGGUUGACAUUUGGCGUCGCAGUUCUGAGUUGGCCUCGUGUUUAGUUUUCUAUCGUUCGCUCCUUCAUUUUAGAAUUUCAAUUUAGAAUUUAGAAUUGUUUCUUUUAUAUUUCUUCUUUAAUAUGAACUCAAUUAUUAAAAAUAAAGUGUUUAGUAGGUCAACGUAUAAAAGAAAAUUUAAAAAAGCGCUAACGAAACUACGUGAAAAAGGUGUUUCUGAUGUAAACUUUACUAAAUCGAAUCUUGUAGAACAUCGUAAUCAAGAGUUUUCUUCAAGACAUGUAAUUUCUGAAAUUUCUGAUAGUGAUUGUGAUAGUUUGGAAGAAAAUAGUGCAGAGCCCGGUGGUGUUUUAGUUCAACAAACUUCGGAAAACAUAUCGAAAGACUUAAAAAACUGGGCUGUCAAAUACAAUGUAGCCCAUGUUUGCUUGCGUGAUUUACUUGAUAUCUUGCACUGUUCUCAUCCUUAUUUACCCCUAGACCCUCGAACAUUUCUACAUACUUCCAUCGCGGAAAAACAUUUUAUCGAUGUUCCUCCUGGCAGAUACUGGCAUUUUGGUUUAGUUCGUGCUUUGACCAAGGUUUUUCAAAGUAUUGAUAAAUUACCGACAGAAAUAUGUUUAGAUUUCAAUAUCGAUGGAAUACCUGUAAGCAAAAGUUCCAAAGGGCAAUUUUGGCCAAUUUUGUGCUCACCAGAAGGUUUUUCUUUGCCGCCACUUGUAAUAGGUGUUUAUUACGGAAUGGCAAAACCUUCGAAAGUUGAUGAAUUUUUGAAAUUGUUUCUUCAAGAGGCUAAAACGAUUAGUGAUUUGAAUAUAGGUUCAAGAACAAUUAAGUUUAAAAUAAGAAAUUUCAUUUGUGAUGCUCCUGCUCGGUCUUAUUUAAAAGGUAUAAAAGGGCAUAAUGGUUAUUUUGCCUGUGAAAGGUGUAAUGUAGAAGGCGAUUAUAACUACAAUACUCACCAAAUGUGCUUCCCAACAUUAUCAAAAUCAGUUAGGACGAAUGCUUCUUUCCGGGAUAAGAUCCACGAAGAUCACCAUAUCCAAUCAUCUCCAUUAGAAAGCCUUCCAAUCGAUAUGAUCAACAAUUUUCCUUUGGAUUACAUGCAUUUACUGUGCUUAGGUAUUAUGAAAAAAUUAUUGCUGUUAUGGAUCAAGAACAGAUCCUUAAAAACAAAACUGUCUUCGAAAAACAUUGAAAAAAUCUCUGAUUUGUUAGUGUCAAUGCGAACGUUUACGCCAUGUGAAUUCAACCGAACUGUACGCAGACUUGAUGUUAUAAGCUUUUGGAAGGCCACAGAAUUUCGAACAUUUUUGUUAUACUUAGGUCCGAUUGUUUUGAAAAAUGAAAUUCACGAAGAUGUAUAUGAGAAUUUCAUGCAAUUACAUUGUGCUGUUACAAUUUGUCUGAGCGAAAAAUCAGGCAAAUUUAUUAAUAUAGCACAAAUCAUGUUCAAUUCGUUCAUACAAGGUUUUGCUAAGAUCUAUGGCCGUGAAAAUAUAAGUUACAAUGUUCAUAACUUAUACCAUAUUGCAGAUGAUGUGAAAUUCCAUGGUCCUCUCGACAACAUAAGUGCAUUCAAAUACGAGAAUCGCUUGCAAUAUCUAAAGCGUAGAAUAAGAUCGGGAAAUAGGCCACUUGAACAAAUUGCAAAUAGAAUUUCAGAGGAUUUUGAAAACACAACAAACCAUCUAAGUACGAACACGUUUCCAAGGCUCUCUAAUCUAGAUAAACAUAAAACGUGUGAAAUUAGAGGUUGUAAAGGUAUUUAUAGAACUGUCGAACUAGAAAAUUUCGUUCUUAAAUCUUCAGAUGCAGAUUGCUAUUUCUUUACAAAGUCUGAAGAAAUUGUUCGAAUGGAAUUCGCAACAUUUCAAAACGAAAUUGCAGUUAUUUAUGGUUCGAGCUUGGCGCAAAAACAAAACUUUUACGACAAACCAUUUUAUUCAAAAUUUUUAAAUGUAUACAAGUCAAACGAGGAAACAAAUGUCUCCCAAUUUUGGAAAACGGGUGACAUUGUUUCUAAAUUUUUUAAAGUUCCUUUAAAUACUGAAUCUGUUUUCUUUCCUCUUAUUCAUUCUUCAAAAAAAGAAAAUGUUCCGAGUGGUGGAAACAAUUGAGAAUGGCGAAAGAUUCGUCACUGCUGUUCCGAGGAAUUGGGUCGAUGGAUCAACCCUGUUAUGGCCGAAUACGAAAAAGGAUUUGUUAACUGGCCGCAAACAAUGUCUCACACCUUCAGAAGACUGGCAGAAAUUAAAAUGCAGACUCAUUUUUGAUGAUAUCGAUUCGUGGGAUGAGGCUAUAGCCAAAGAAAAGGAGGCCGAGUUUAUGUCGUCCGACGAAACUGGGUUGGAUGAGCUGGGCAAAUUACCCGAAAAUGCGAUUUCCGACUUGAAUUUACUCAUGUCGGAGAUCAUUUGUGAAAACUUGUGCGCGCCCCCCAAGAUGCAUUACGGAUCAUCGACCAAUACUCUCAGUUACGAUUCGGAUCAGCAAGGCACUUCGCAGUCGCAGUCGCAGUCGCAGUCGUUUGAGAGCCUGCAGGCGGAAAAUAAGGCAGCCUUCCAAUCAAUUGAAGUGUCUCUAGGAGAGCUAAAAGCGGAAUCGGGCCUCCAAAAAAAACUCCUCGAGGAGUUUAUAGCCAGAACAGAGGUUACGCUGAACACUAUAAUAGACAAACUUUGUCAGCGAAGGGAAUCGGCGGGGGAGUUGAAAAUUCCCGAAAAUUUGCUGCCGAUUUCAACUCACGAGCAGUUAGACUCCCUCGAGGAGAAAAUUGGGACCGAUCCCGCUUUUAGGCGGUCGUUGAUCCGUAAGCUGAGCACUUUUGGGGGGUUGUCAGCGUCAAAAACAAUGCGCACAAUUUCGAAGUGCAUGUUUGGGGAUGAGUUGCUGGCCCAGUACUCGUGGUACGGGACGAACAGCAAAAAAAAGUUUGACAGCUACAAACUUAUUUUUGAGGUGGUGGUGGAGGCGGUCAGGGAGCGAUUCCCUUCAUUCAGCGACACCGAGGGAGCAAGUUAUAUGAAAACGUACCUCAAACAGGCCCGUUUCAGGCAGGGCAAAAACCCACUCGACGACUCAACAGCAGCAGAUUAAUUUUUUUAUUUUAUAAUUAACUUUAUUUUUGUUUUAGUUUUAAGUUUUUCUUUAUGUAUUUAGUUUUAAGAGUUAUCUUUUAGUUUUAAGUAGUUUUAAGUUAAAAAAGUAUGUAAUUUUACUUUUUAAAUAAAAAAAAGGAAAAAAAAAGUAAUUUUUUAACCCGUUUUAUUAUUUAAAAAGGAACUUCUUUUUCAGGUUAGAAAAUUACCAUUUUUGGAGCAAAAUACUGGGUUUUUUUGCUACCCAGCUCCAACCGGAGCGAAAUAAUGGGUUUUUUUAUUACCUCUCCAGAACCUCCAAACAGGUAUCAAAAUUACCGACGAAAAAGGUUUUCCUACUACCUAAAAAUAACCGGUAGUGAAAAUACGUCACCAGAACGCUUCGAAAUAACGUUUUUGGAGCGUUUUUUUUUUACCAAAAAAAAACCCAGGCUCGUCAGCGGUUAAAAACCUACUGAUAAAAACCGUAUUUAAAUUACCAUAAAAAAACCCAGGUUUCAAAGUUACUGACCAAAUUGGGUAAAAAUGCGGCUCCUGGAACGUCUCUACGCCGGCUUUUUUACCAAUUUCGUUACUUUUCAGGUAAUUACCUCUGGUUUUAAGCCGGUUUAUUUACCGACUUUUAACCAAAA
This is an RNA transcript of Episyrphus balteatus (marmalade hoverfly), 4217 nucleotides long. RefSeq lists it as uncharacterized. The record is from RefSeq and is a predicted model, not a curated record. NCBI's taxonomy places the organism in Eukaryota, Metazoa, Arthropoda, Insecta, Diptera, Syrphidae. The transcript is spliced from 5 exons.